CCGUUGUACACACCGCCCGUCACACCAUGGGAGUUGGUUCUACCUUAAGACGGUGCGCUAACCGCAAGGAGGCAGCCGGCCACGGUAGGGUCAGCGACUGGGUG
Molecule: ribosomal RNA, 104 nt
Filed under: uncultured bacterium
Lineage: Bacteria
Description: partial 16S ribosomal RNA
Rfam family: Bacterial small subunit ribosomal RNA
Source: RNAcentral